CAAGACAACUUUACGGAGUUGACGAUUGACGGAGCGAAGCGACGUCAAAGCGUUCAUUAAAGUCGAGUUGGCUUAGGGAUACGUUCGUUGGGUAGGGGAGCGUUCUGUAAGCCUGUGAAGGUGUGUCGUGAGGCAUGCUGGAGGUAUCAGAAGUGCGAAUGCUGACAUAAGUAACGAUAAAGCGGGUGAAAAGCCCGCUCGCCGGAAGACCAAGGGUUCCUGUCCAACGUUAAUCGGGGCAGGGUGAGUCGACCCCUAAGGCGAGGCCGAAAGGCGUAGUCGAUGGGAAACGGGUUAAUAUUCCCGUACUUGGUGUUACUGCGAAGGGGGGACGGAGAAGGCUAUGUUGGCCGGGCGACGGUUGUCCCGGUUUAAGCGUGUAGGUGUGUGUUCCAGGUAAAUCCGGUUCACUUUAACACUGAGGCGUGACGACGAGGCACUACGGUGCUGAAGCAACAAAUGCCCUGCUUCCAGGAAAAGCCUCUAAGCAUCAGGUAACACGAAAUCGUACCCCAAACCGACACAGGUGGUCAGGUAGAGAAUACCAAGGCGCUUGAGAGAACUCGGGUGAAGGAACUAGGCAAAAUGGUGCCGUAACUUCGGGAGAAGGCACGCUGACACGUAGGUGAAGUGAUUUACUCAUGGAGCUGAAGUCAGUCGAAGAUACCAGCUGGCUGCAACUGUUUAUUAAAAACACAGCACUGUGCAAACACGAAAGUGGACGUAUACGGUGUGACGCCUGCCCGGUGCCAGAAGGUUAAUUGAUGGGGUCAGCGUAAGCGAAGCUCCUGAUCGAAGCCCCGGUAAACGGCGGCCGUAACUAUAACGGUCCUAAGGUAGCGAAAUUCCUUGUCGGGUAAGUUCCGACCUGCACGAAUGGCGUAAUGAUGGCCAGGCUGUCUCCACCCGAGACUCAGUGAAAUUGAACUCGCUGUGAAGAUGCAGUGUACCCGCGGCAAGACGGAAAGACCCCGUGAACCUUUACUAUAGCUUGACACUGAACAUUGAGCCUUGAUGUGUAGGAUAGGUGGGAGGCUUUGAAGUGUGGACGCCAGUCUGCAUGGAGCCGACCUUGAAAUACCACCCUUUAAUGUUUGAUGUUCUAACGUGGACCCGUAAUCCGGGUUGCGGACAGUGUCUGGUGGGUAGUUUGACUGGGGCGGUCUCCUCCUAAAGAGUAACGGAGGAGCACGAAGGUUGGCUAAUCCUGGUCGGACAUCAGGAGGUUAGUGCAAUGGCAUAAGCCAGCUUGACUGCGAGCGUGACGGCGCGAGCAGGUGCGAAAGCAGGUCAUAGUGAUCCGGUGGUUCUGAAUGGAAGGGCCAUCGCUCAACGGAUAAAAGGUACUCCGGGGAUAACAGGCUGAUACCGCCCAAGAGUUCAUAUCGACGGCGGUGUUUGGCACCUCGAUGUCGGCUCAUCACAUCCUGGGGCUGAAGUAGGUCCCAAGGGUAUGGCUGUUCGCCAUUUAAAGUGGUACGCGAGCUGGGUUUAGAACGUCGUGAGACAGUUCGGUCCCUAUCUGCCGUGGGCGCUGGAGAACUGAGGGGGGCUGCUCCUAGUACGAGAGGACCGGAGUGGACGCAUCACUGGUGUUCGGGUUGUCAUGCCAAUGGCACUGCCCGGUAGCUAAAUGCGGAAGAGAUAAGUGCUGAAAGCAUCUAAGCACGAAACUUGCCCCGAGAUGAGUUCUCCCUGAGACUUAGAGUCUCCUGAAGGAACGUUGAAGACGACGACGUUGAUAGGCCGGGUGUGUAAGCGCAGCGAUGCGUUGAGCUAACCGGUACUAAUGAACCGUGAGGCUUAACCUUACAACGCCGAAG
RNAcentral lists this ribosomal RNA (1823 nucleotides) under Salmonella enterica. Its description in RNAcentral is "partial 23S ribosomal RNA". It matches the Rfam family "Bacterial large subunit ribosomal RNA", at positions 1163 to 2925 of the family's 2925-position model. Lineage: Bacteria; Pseudomonadati; Pseudomonadota; Gammaproteobacteria; Enterobacterales; Enterobacteriaceae. The record is from RNAcentral.